This is a long non-coding RNA of Perognathus longimembris pacificus (Pacific pocket mouse), 638 nucleotides long. RefSeq lists it as uncharacterized. Lineage: Eukaryota; Metazoa; Chordata; Mammalia; Rodentia; Heteromyidae. The record is from RefSeq and is a predicted model, not a curated record. The transcript has 4 exons.
AAUAAGGUAUAUUAAGCAUUGGUUAUAAAGUCUUAUUUAUUGUGACUGAAUUUGUAUCAGAAUUUAUACAUGGUUUUAUGUUAGCCACUUUUCAGGCUAUAUCCUUUAUUACCAAACUAUAUUGCAUUAAUGAAGAUGGGUUAUGUGAAAGAAAAACUGGAUACUGCAUCUACUAACUGUCCUCAUCUGGAAGAAGAUAUCCAAUGUUUAGAGCAGGAUUUAUUGUCCAUAAAAAGCAUCCAAAAGGAAUGGGAACAUUUAGAGAAGAAUCAGGAGGACUUAGAAGAGAAAUUCCUGACAUUCAAAGAUCUUAUUCACGAGUAUAUGGACUGAGGAAGAGCUAGAGGCUGCCAACAGAAAAUGUUUGCUGAAGAAAGAGAAGAGAUCUUUACACAGUAGUCACCGUGCAAGGUCAGUCCUGGAAAAAGAGGCAGAGGAAGAUGGCAAAACAGAGCAGUAGACAAAUAGAAGCUACUGCUGAACUUGAUUCUACGCAGUUGGAAGCUUCUCACUCAUGACUGAUUGAAAUGUCAUCUCAGUAGCUACCUUAGGGAGAAUGACAAGAAUUUACAGAUACCUUAUAUAAUAAGUGUAUUUAUGAUAGUUAAAAUUUUGUUUGUUGGACUGUAUAUAUAUAU